This 266-nucleotide non-coding RNA is filed under the name Heyndrickxia ginsengihumi. RNAcentral's name for it is "Bacillus ginsengihumi T-box sequence". It matches the Rfam family "T-box leader". Rfam says of the family: Uncharged tRNA acts as the effector for transcription antitermination of genes in the T-box leader family. T-boxes are found upstream of many aminoacyl-tRNA synthetase genes and some amino acid biosynthetic genes usually in Gram-positive bacteria. The record is from RNAcentral. Lineage: Bacteria; Bacillati; Bacillota; Bacilli; Caryophanales; Bacillaceae.
UGAAAAACGAUGAAGAGGGAAAGUAAGAUUAUGCGAUUUUCAAAGAGAGCUUCGGGAGCUGAAAAGAAGCAAAGUUGCUAAUCUGAACAAUGGCCUCAGAGUUUCGUGCUGAAAAUGUUUAAACAUGAGUAGGUUCCGACGGGAUGGUAUUCGUUACAAUUACCGCAGUAUAAAAGUAGUGUAUACUUUGUACUGAUUUGAGGCUGUUUGCAAGGGCAAAUGGUAAAGUAAGGUGGUACCACGUGAACUGAAACCACGUCCUUAUC